UACGUAGGGUGCGAGCGUUAAUCGGAAUUACUGGGCGUAAAGCGUGUGCAGGCGGUUUUGUAAGUUAGAGGUGAAAGCCCGGAGCUCAACUCCGGAAUUGCCUUUAAGACUGCAUCGCUAGAAUUGUGGAGAGGUGAGUGGAAUUCCGAGUGUAGAGGUGAAAUUCGUAGAUAUUCGGAAGAACACCAGUGGCGAAGGCGACUCACUGGACACAUAUUGACGCUGAGGUGCGAAAGCGUGGGGAGCAAACAGG
RNAcentral lists this ribosomal RNA (253 nucleotides) under uncultured bacterium. Its description in RNAcentral is "partial 16S ribosomal RNA". It matches the Rfam family "Bacterial small subunit ribosomal RNA", at positions 524 to 776 of the family's 1533-position model. The record is from RNAcentral.